UUUCGAAUCAUUCACAAUGGGCGAAAGCCUGAUGGUGCGACGCCGCGUGAGGGAUGAAGGCCUUCGGGUUGUAAACCUCUGUCACCGGGGAAGAAACGCUUCAAGUUAACAGCUUGAAGCCUGACUUAACCCGGAGAGGAAGCAGUGGCUAACUCUGUGCCAGCAGCCGCGGUAAUACAGAGACUGCAAGCGUUAUUCGGAUUCACUGGGCGUAAAGGGUGCGCAGGCGGCCGGGUGUGUCAGAUGUGAAAUCCCGAGGCUUAACCUCGGAACUGCGUCUGAAACUACUCGGCUAGAGUAUUGGAGAGGGUAACGGAAUUCACGGUGUAGCGGUGAAAUGCGUAGAUAUCAAGAGGAACACCUGAGGCGAAGGCGGGUUGCUGGGCUGAUACUGACGCUGAGGCGCGAAAGCUAGGGUAGCAAACGGGAUUAGAUACCCGCGUAGUCCCUGAGCGGGCUGGCAAGGCGCAU
This 471-nucleotide ribosomal RNA is filed under the name uncultured bacterium. RNAcentral's name for it is "bacterial SSU rRNA". It matches the Rfam family "Bacterial small subunit ribosomal RNA", at positions 355 to 825 of the family's 1533-position model. The record is from RNAcentral.